UAAGAUGGAGGAACUGGCGAAGUUGCUGACCUAUAAGAAUCACCAGCUGGCCAGCCAAUCAGAGCCGGCGGACGAGGAAAAGAAGAGGAGCGUAUCUCUAACCCCAGAGGAGGAGAAGGAGUUGGAGAACAUAGCAGCUAUGGACAUGGAGCUACAGAAGAUAUCUCAGAAGAUGCAUGAGAACAGGAGUGACUAGAUAGACAGGCAGAGGCAUGCAGACAGGGAUGCUAAGAUACACAAGGUUAGCACACUGAGAUAGUAACAAAAGACUAAAAAGAGAGCUGUAGACUUACCCGUCAGAGUUACGAAAAA
Salvelinus sp. IW2-2015 is the source of this 312-nucleotide non-coding RNA. The record is from RefSeq and is a predicted model, not a curated record. Lineage: Eukaryota; Metazoa; Chordata; Actinopteri; Salmoniformes; Salmonidae.